UCUCUCUCUCUCUCAUCCCACGCACACGGAUUUUCGAGGUUCGCGGAAGUUCAAAUAAAAAAAAGAAAAAGAAACCGAAAGAAAGGAAAAAAGAAAGAUAAAAAAACACUAAAUUCACCUUUUUGUCUGCAAAGUCGUGUAUAUAGGAAGUAUCCAGGUGUUUGUUUAGCCAGGUACACACACACACACACACACACACACACACACACACACAGACACAGAUGAGGGAACGGAGGAUUAUCAAGUGAAGGGAGAGGAACCGUGACCGAGAUGACUGAUGAAGAGGAAGAAGCCACAGCGAAGAAAGGGAAGGGGAAGACGGAGGGAGACAAAGCGAGACAGAUGAUAAAGGGUAGAAGCAAGGAAAGGCGGCGGAGCGGGGAGAGGGAAACACUGGAGGCGAGGAAGAAGGGAAGGAGUGCAAAUGGAAUGAAUCUUGUGGCUUUCUGUGCACUGUGAAAAAGAAAUCUUGGGUACGGUGGACAAGAGAAAGGAAACAUUGUGGUAUUUGUAAAAAGAGAAUGUGCAAAAUAAAGAUACUAUGUAGGGUACGAUUGACAAAAGAAAGGAAACGAAACAUUGUGGUAUUUGUAAAAAGAGAAUGUGCAAAAUAAAGAUUCUAUGUAGGGUACGACUGACAAAAGAAAGGAAACGAAACAUUGUGGUAUUUGUAAAAAGAGAAUGUGCAAAAUAAAGAUACUAUGUAGGGUACGAUUGACAAAAGAAAGGAAACGAAACAUUGUGGUAUUUGUAAAAAGAGAAUGUGCAAAAUAUAGAUACUAUUUGGAGAGAUUGUUAGGAAGGUAAUGACUGUUGAAAAAAAAAUAACUGGAAUUCGUUAAGACAUUGGAAGGAUCGGUUACAAAGGAGAGGAAACAUUGUGGCAUACGAAAAUAAGUUGUCCUAAAUAAAGAUACUGAAAGGUAAGAAAUUUAGGUAGAAAAUGACGUUUGAAAAAAAUAAUAACUGUAAUCGUAGAGACAUUGGAAGGAUCGGUUACAAAUGAUAGGAAACAUUGUGAUAUAUGUAAAAAGAAAAUGUACUAAAUAUAAACACUAUUUGGAAAGACAGCAAGGAAGGUAAUGACGUUUGAAAAAAAAAAUAAUUCGUUGCGACAUUAGAAGGAUAGGUUACAAAAGAGAGGAAACAUUGUGGCAUAUUUUAAUGAAGAGAUAAUGUGAUGAAUUAAAAAAAAACUGUUUGGAGAGAAUGUAAAGAAGGUAAUGACGGUUGAAGAAAUUAACUGAAAUUCGUAUAGACAAUAGAUGAGUUAGUUACAAAUGAGAGUAUACAAAAUGGGCGAAAUAUAGAUACUGUUUGGAAAGAUAGGAGGAAGGUCAUGACGGUUGAAGAGAGGAACUGAGAGAAGGAGAAGUUGAAAUCCUUAAAAUUCGUUACAACAAUAGAAUGAUCGGUUACAAAAGAGGAAACGUUGUGGUAUGUAAAGAGAGAACGUGCUGAAAAAAUAUGCUGUAAGGAAAGAAAUUAAGGAAGGUAAUGACUUUAUGAAAAAUUAAUAAAAUCCCCAGACAAAGGUUUAGUCAGAAAACAGAGGAAACAGUUUGGUCAAUAAAGAGAAAAUGUGCCAAAUAAAGACACUAUAAGAGAAAAAAUAGAGGAGGUAAUGACGGUUAAAAAAUAAUUGAAAGAUAAAUAAAGGUUAAUUGUGUAAUAUUCAUGGGGACAACAGAAGGCUUGGUUACGAAAGAAAAUAAACGAUAUGGUAUUUUUUUACAGCAAAGGAGACAGCACAAGAUCACAAAAAAAGGAAACAAUAAUAUAUAAAAAAAGCCCGCUACUUGCUGCUCAUAAAUAAUAAAAUAAUAAAUAAUAAAGAAAAUAUGCUAAAUUCAACUAUUAGGAGAGAAAAUAUGGAGGCUAAUGACUGUUGAAGAAAUGGAAUGAGAGAAGAGAGCAUUAAGGUGAACUCUGUAAUAUUCGUGAGGGAAGAGUGACUGAAAAUUUAAGAACGUGACGGAAGGAAAGUGAAUAAUUUUGGGAUGUUAAGAAAAUCCAGUCAGAGUGAUGGAAGGUGACAGGUUAUGGCUCGACUGGAUCACGAAAUCGAGUGAAUUGAAAGUAAAAGGGGGAAAAAAAUGCGAUAAUGAUGAGAAUAAGAUGAAGACGAGGUACGAGGAAGUGAGUAAGAUGAAAAUGAGUCAAGUUGGAUAUUCACCAGAGAAGUGGAUAAAUCGUUCGUUAGGAAAAGGAAAACUAGAAUAAUGAUGGAAAAGGGAGCGUUAAUAAUGAUAUGAAUGGAAAAAAAGGAAAAUGAAGAGUGAGAGAUAGAAAAGAAUACACUGAUAAAGAUUAGAAGAAGGAUAAAUCGAAGAAGAAAACUCACUAGACGGACAAUAAAUCAAAGAGCAGAUAAAUAAAGAGGAAGAGGGGAAAAAAAGAGGAUAAAUAUGUCAGUAGAUGAACAAUGAGAGACAAAACACGUAGAUAAAAGGGAAGAGGAAGAUGAAAACAGUAAAUAAACAAUAAACAAAUAAAUAAGAAUAGGUAAAUAAAGAGGAAGAUACAAAAAAUAAAGAGGAUAAAUAUGCCCGUAGAUGAACAAUGAGAGACAAAACACGUAGAUGAAGAGGAAGAGGAAGAUGAAAACAGUAAAUAAACAAUAAACAAAUAAACAAGAAUAGGUAAAUAAAGAGGAAGAGAAAAAAUGAAGAGGAUAAAUAGGUAUGUCAAUAGAUGAACAAUGAGAGACAAAACACGUAGAUAAAGAGGAAGAGGAAGAUGAAAACAGUAAAUAAACAAUAAACAAAUAAACAAGAAUAGGUAAAUAAAGAGGAAGAGAAAAAAUGAAGAGGAUAAAUAGGUAUGUCAGUAGAUGAGCAAUAAGAGACAAAACACGUAGAUAAAGAGGAAGAAGAAGAAAUUAAAGAUGAAAACAGUAAAUAAAAAAAA
Eriocheir sinensis (Chinese mitten crab) is the source of this 2910-nucleotide long non-coding RNA. RefSeq lists it as uncharacterized. The transcript has 2 exons. The record is from RefSeq and is a predicted model, not a curated record. NCBI's taxonomy places the organism in Eukaryota, Metazoa, Arthropoda, Malacostraca, Decapoda, Varunidae.